Molecule: long non-coding RNA, 347 nt
Organism: Nymphaea colorata (pocket water lily)
Lineage: Eukaryota; Viridiplantae; Streptophyta; Magnoliopsida; Nymphaeales; Nymphaeaceae
Exons: 3
Source: RefSeq, a predicted model, not a curated record
GCGACUUGUAGGCCUUGGUGGUGGCGGCAUUGAAGGAUUUUAGCCGCUUGGAGACCACUUGGACUCAUGAGGUGGCUGUCGGAAGCAUCGCAGCAGUUUGAGCUCUUGAAUUGGGGUACACCGGGCACGUCCCGUCAACCUUGAGCUGUCAGAUUUGAAGCUCGAGGUAUUUUGAAGAGUUUGUGAGCACGCCACAGGUUUUGGCAGACCCGGGGCAGCAGGUUGAUCGGAUGGCUUCACUCACGUCCUACUGGAGAGGUUUUGAGUUUUGUUUUCUUAUGUAGUGCCGGCGCGUCUUGGUUGAUUUGUAUUGAUGUCAUGUUUUUGUUAGACAUUAAUCAUACAGU